GAUGAAGAACGCAGCGAAAUGCGAUACGUAAUGUGAAUUGCAAAUUCAGUGAAUCAUCGAGUCUUUGAACGCACAUUGCGCCCCCUGGUAUUCCGGGGGGCAUGCCUGUCCGAGCGUCAUUGCUGCCCUCAAGCACGGCUUGUGUGUUGGGCCCCGUCCUCCGAUCCCGGGGGACGGGCCCGAAAGGCAGCGGCGGCACCGCGUCCGGUCCUCGAGCGUAUGGGGCUUUGUCACCCGCUCUGUAGGCACGGCCGGCGCUUGCCGAUCAACCCAAAUUUUUUAUCCAGGUUGACCUCGGAUCAGGUAGGGAUACCCGCUGAACUUAAGCAUAUCAAUAAGCGGAGGA
RNAcentral lists this unclassified non-coding RNA (346 nucleotides) under soil metagenome. Its description in RNAcentral is "partial contains 5.8S ribosomal RNA, internal transcribed spacer 2, and large subunit ribosomal RNA". The stretch from base 1 to 119 matches the Rfam family "5.8S ribosomal RNA", at positions 35 to 154 of the family's 154-position model. The record is from RNAcentral.